Molecule: long non-coding RNA, 279 nt
Filed under: Lathyrus oleraceus (garden pea)
Lineage: Eukaryota; Viridiplantae; Streptophyta; Magnoliopsida; Fabales; Fabaceae
Description: Pisum sativum (pea) long non-coding RNA (PSAT_LNC016392)
Source: RNAcentral
AAAAAUUCACCCACUGUUAGUUGGUUCAGUGGUAUCUGGCAUUGAACUCGGUAGGGCAGAUUACGAUCUGAUCCUCCACAACUGCAGUUGGGUCAAAUAAAAGGGUUUACACAAAUUUAUGUGUCAGGAACCCCAUGUUUGGAUCAUAAUCACUAACAGGUCACUCUGCUAUGAAGCAUGUACAGAUAACGGGCUUAAUGUGAUUGCGCCUGAAUGAAAAGGACACAAAAAGAGAUGAAGAGGAAGGCUUAGGUAUUGUGGGAUAAUAUGGGUUGGUUA